UUGCCCUCCAUUGAUGAAGCUCUUGUUGGCACCAUAAAUUGGUUUUGCUUCACACUGUCUUGAUCAAGUGUGUGUGAAGCUUUUGAGAAUUGUGGUUGCCCCCCAUUGAUGAAGCUCUUGUUGGCACCAUAAAUUGGUUUUGCUUUACACUGUCUUGAUCAAAAGUGUGUGAAACUUUCUAUGAGUUGUAGUGUUUGCAUUGUUACAAAGGAGAAAUGUCUGAAGCAAAUGCAAGAGGGCUGAAUAGCUUGAUCUUCGUAUGCCAUGCACUGAAGUUGUUGUUGGCUUGCAAUAAGAUUUUGUUGGUGACUAUAACU
RNAcentral lists this long non-coding RNA (317 nucleotides) under Malus domestica (apple). Its description in RNAcentral is "long non-coding RNA (MDOM_LNC016506)". The record is from RNAcentral. Lineage: Eukaryota; Viridiplantae; Streptophyta; Magnoliopsida; Rosales; Rosaceae.